GUAACAAGGUUUCCGUAGGUGAACCUGCGGAAGGAUCAUUAAUGAAUUUUUGAAGGGGUUGUAGCUGGCCCGCGAGGGCAUGUGCACGCCCCGUUCAAUCCAUUCUACCCCUGUGAACCACACUGUAGGGAUCGAGGGCCGUGAGGCCUGCUUUCCCUAUGUCAUUUUACAAACUCUGUAGUGUCAGAAUGUCACCUGCGUAUAACGCAUCUUAUACAACUUUCAGCAACGGAUCUCUUGGCUCUCGCAUCGAUGAAGAACGCAGCGAAAUGCGAUAAGUAAUGUGAAUUGCAGAAUUCAGUGAAUCAUCGAAUCUUUGAACGCACCUUGCGCCCCUCGGUAUUCCGAGGAGCAUGCCUGUUUGAGUGUCAUGGAAUCAUCAACCUUUAAUGCCUUGUGCAUCGAAGGCUUGGACUUGGAGGGCCAUGCCGGCGCGAGUCGGCUCCUCUGGAAUGCAUUAGCUGGACUAUGGGUCUGGUUGCGCGGUGUGAUAAUUAUCUGCAUCGUCUGCCUCUCCGCGGAUCAGCUUCGAACCGUCUCCUGUGGAGACAAAAUUCAUUGACCUCUGACCUCAAAUCAGGUAGGACUACCCGCUGAACUUAAGCAUAUC
RNAcentral lists this ribosomal RNA (610 nucleotides) under Dacryobolus gracilis. Its description in RNAcentral is "eukaryotic LSU rRNA". The stretch from base 218 to 371 matches the Rfam family "5.8S ribosomal RNA". Lineage: Eukaryota; Fungi; Basidiomycota; Agaricomycetes; Polyporales; Dacryobolaceae. The record is from RNAcentral.